This 628-nucleotide ribosomal RNA is filed under the name Acinetobacter seifertii. RNAcentral's name for it is "bacterial SSU rRNA". It matches the Rfam family "Bacterial small subunit ribosomal RNA", at positions 672 to 1299 of the family's 1533-position model. Lineage: Bacteria; Pseudomonadati; Pseudomonadota; Gammaproteobacteria; Moraxellales; Moraxellaceae. The record is from RNAcentral.
GGUGUAGCGGUGAAAUGCGUAGAGAUCUGGAGGAAUACCGAUGGCGAAGGCAGCCAUCUGGCCUAACACUGACGCUGAGGUGCGAAAGCAUGGGGAGCAAACAGGAUUAGAUACCCUGGUAGUCCAUGCCGUAAACGAUGUCUACUAGCCGUUGGGGCCUUUGAGGCUUUAGUGGCGCAGCUAACGCGAUAAGUAGACCGCCUGGGGAGUACGGUCGCAAGACUAAAACUCAAAUGAAUUGACGGGGGCCCGCACAAGCGGUGGAGCAUGUGGUUUAAUUCGAUGCAACGCGAAGAACCUUACCUGGCCUUGACAUAGUAAGAACUUUCCAGAGAUGGAUUGGUGCCUUCGGGAACUUACAUACAGGUGCUGCAUGGCUGUCGUCAGCUCGUGUCGUGAGAUGUUGGGUUAAGUCCCGCAACGAGCGCAACCCUUUUCCUUAUUUGCCAGCGAGUAAUGUCGGGAACUUUAAGGAUACUGCCAGUGACAAACUGGAGGAAGGCGGGGACGACGUCAAGUCAUCAUGGCCCUUACGGCCAGGGCUACACACGUGCUACAAUGGUCGGUACAAAGGGUUGCUACACAGCGAUGUGAUGCUAAUCUCAAAAAGCCGAUCGUAGUCCGGAUU